RNA transcript from Vidua macroura (Pin-tailed whydah), 5138 nucleotides. It is a transcript of the gene named arylsulfatase B, with no coding region annotated. The record is from RefSeq and is a predicted model, not a curated record. Lineage: Eukaryota; Metazoa; Chordata; Aves; Passeriformes; Viduidae. The transcript is spliced from 9 exons.
AUGGCGCGGCGGGCGUGUGUGCUGGUCCCGUGCUUCAGCCGGCUGCUGUGUCUGUGCCUGCCCCUGUGCCUGCCGCGGCCGGCGGCGGCGCGCCCGCCCGCCCCGCACCUCGUGCUGGUGCUGGCCGACGACCUGGGCUGGGGCGACGUGGGCUGGCACGGCUCUGCCAUCCGCACGCCGCGGCUGGACGCGCUGGGCGCGGGCGGCGUGCGGCUGGAGCGCUACUACACCCAGCCGCUGUGCACGCCGUCCCGCAGCCAGCUCCUCUCGGGCCGCUACCAGAUCCACACAGGUUUACAACACCAAAUAAUUUGGCCAUGCCAGCCCAGCUGUCUGCCACUGGAUGAGAAACUCCUCCCAGAGCUACUUCAAGAGGCGGGAUAUGUUACUCACAUGGUGGGGAAGUGGCAUUUGGGGAUGUACAGAAAAGAAUGCCUUCCAACCCACAGAGGAUUUGACACUUACUUCGGCUAUCUCCUGGGCAGUGAGGAUUAUUAUACUCAUGACCGCUGUGUCCUCAUCAAAGCAAAGAAUGUGACACGCUGUGCUCUGGACUUUCGAGAUGGAGAAGAAGUUGCAACUGGAUUUAAAAAUGUGUACUCCACAAAUUUAUUCACAGAAAGAGCUAUAGAUCUUAUAGCCAAUCACAAAACUGAGAAGCCCCUCUUUCUCUAUCUUGCCUUUCAGUCUGUGCAUGAACCUCUCGAGGUCCCUGAAAAAUACAUGAAACCAUAUUCUUCCAUAAAAGAUGUAAAGAGGCGCCAUUAUGCAGGAAUGGUGACUCUUAUGGACGAAGCGGUAGGAAAUCUUACUGAUGCUCUGAAAACGUAUGGUCUUUGGGACAACACCGUUUUUGUUUUCUCUACUGAUAAUGGAGGACAAACUUUAGCAGGGGGGAAUAACUGGCCACUGAGAGGGAGAAAAUGGACCCUCUGGGAAGGAGGAGUGAGAGCUGUAGGCUUUGUUGCAAGUCCUUUGCUGAAACAAAAAGGUGUAGAAAGUCAUGAACUCAUCCAUAUCUCUGACUGGCUGCCAACGCUGGUGCACCUUGCUGGAGGACAUGCCAAUGGCACUAAGCCUUUGGAUGGCUUUGAUGUUUGGAACACUAUCAGUGAAGGAAGACCUUCUCCCAGAGUGGAACUGCUGCAUAACAUAGACCCCAUGUUUGUGGAUGAUUUCCCAUGUCUUGGCAUUGACAAGAGGACAUCUUUACCACAGAGCAAUUCUUCUCCAUGGGAUGAUACGCUUUUCAAUAUAUCCAUACAUGCAGCAAUAAGACAUGGAAAAUGGAAGUUACUAACUGGAUAUCCAGGCUGCAGUCAUUGGUUCCCUCCACCGUCUUUGUACAAUGAGUCCCAGAUUCAAUCGUCUGAUCCAUCAACAAAGAGACUUUGGCUGUUUGAUAUUGUUCAUGACCCUGAAGAGAAACAUGAUGUGUCUGAAAAAUACCCUCAUAUGGUGGAAAAACUACUCUCACGGCUUCAGUAUUAUCACAAACAUUCAGUGCCUGUGUUCUACCCUGAUGAGGAUCCUGCCUGUGAUCCAGCAGCAACUGGGGCUUGGGGUCCUUGGGCAUAGUGAACAAAGCUUUGCACUCUGUAAAAAACCUCUGUAGCAGAGUCUGGUUUAUGGACUCAGAGUCCUAGUGACAUAUUUUCUACUUUCUUUAGUGAGCUGUUGCUAACUGUGAGCUUACUCUUUGAAUAAUUCAGUAUUUCUUAUUCUUGCUCUGUUGGGAAUCUUAUUUCAGUCUUUCUCACUCUCUCAUUCCCAACAAUUAUAUGUGAAAUGUUAGUAAUUUUUUAAAUAUUCUUUGUCUGGAAUAUGCUUCUAGUGCAGAAGAUAAACAUUGCCUCCUUCCUUGAAAGAAAUUGAAAGGAAUUGAAUUCCUUGUAAGGAAUCAUGGCAGCAGGGACAUCUAAAAUUAAUCAGUCUUAUGGAGUAUACUGAAUUCUGAUUUCAUGUUUGUCCAGAAGACAAAUUCUUCUGAAAGCUAUUAUAUAUCUGUAUUGGCAUAAUUUUUUUUUGCCUUUAACAUGUACUUCCAUGCAGAAAAAGGAAGAGUAAAAAAAGAAAACCUCACAAAUACAACAAAAUCUCUAUUUCUUUUUCACUUUUAAUGUAUCAAACCAGAGUACAGAGUGAUGAUCAACUGGAGUGCAGAGCUGUCAGGUAGAAGGAUCUUGACAGGCUGAAAAAUGGAUGAAUAAAGAUUUCAUUAAUUUGAACAAUUGCAGAGUCCUACAGUUGGGGUGCAACAGCUGCAUUCAGCUGGGCCAACAUGCUGGGCCAUGACCAGAUGAAAAGCAUUUUCAUGAGGAAAACAUCUAGGCAUCCUUCUGGACAAUAAUUAGGACAAGAGUUGCCAUUUUCUGUCUAGGUGAAGAAAACCAACAAGCUGUUGUUCCAUAAAAGUGAGAAUGUAGCCAGCAGCUAGGGGAUGUCUUAAUUCCCUUCUACCAGUGCUAGAGCAUAGCAUCACAUUUUGAUGCAUACAAGAAAACUAUUGACCAUUUGGAGUUAUUUCAGUGGAGAACUAUGAAUAUGAUCAUGGGGAGGAUAAAGAAAUGGGUUAGUUUAUGGUGGUGAGAAGAAGGGAAGUUGCUAUCUUCAGCUACCUAAUUUAAGAGCACAGAGAAGAGGAAGCAGGACUCCUCCAAGAUGCACAAAGAUAAAAAGCACACAUGGAAUAUGUGGAGUUCCAAUGCAAUGUAAGGAAAGGGAAAAAAAAUCACACCCUGUUUUUAAUUAAAUAUGGGAAAUGUGAGACUAUGGGAACCCUAAUCCUGGGGAUGUUCAGUCUUUGGGUGGAGAAGAUUCUGGACAAUUCUGUCCCUGAAGCUGGAUCAAAUUUGAAGUUGACCUGGUUUGGUAGCGGUGGUGAGGAGCAACCAGUGACCUCCAAAGGCCCCUUUCUGCAAGAAUUGCUCAACGAUUCUGUGAUGAACAAAACCUCACUUUUAUUACCUGCCUGGUUCUAAGUGCUGAAUAAUUCCACUGAAAAUUAAUUUUUGGGGCUAAGGACAUUGCAGAUGAUUUACUACCUCCCUAAAUAUGUAACCUCCUUAUAUUUAUUCAGGUUUUCUGAAUCUGGAUCUGUGCCUCAAGCCAUGGUUAUCACUUGUUCAAAUUCUGGUACAGACCAUCCACUUCUCUGGUAAUAAAUAUGUUUUCCCCAAGUAUAGGGGUAAAAAGACUUGAUUUUUAUUCUUGUGAGUUGCUCCACUUUUCUUCUUCCUCUGUAUUUACAUAAGAAAAGUAAGAUACCUGUCAUUUAAAAUAUCUAAUAGACCCAUGACUUGCAAAAUAUUUAUUCACUGGAUUUUAUUUUUUAUGACCAGACUAUGAAGAAUAAAACAGUGUUUCCUCUUUGGUUGUUUUUUAAAGAGAAAGUGAUUCACUUAUUAUGUUUAGAAUAGUACUAAUAGAGGUUCAGGGCCAUUAUCAUUCUUUAGUUAAGAUGACAGAUGAGAGAUAAAAAGGUGCUCCUUAUUUGUUUUAACUGCAUGUACUCUGUGCUUUCUGAAGACCACUUGGCUUACAACCACUUUAAAAAAUACCACAAUUUGGCUCUGAGUCACACAUUUUGAUUGAAAUCAGAUAGCCAAAACCACAAGAAUCUUAACUUGUUAGAAACAGUGAUUGUUCCAAAAGUGUGAAUCCAGAAGACUGGCAUACAUAUGGUAAGUAGAGGAUGCACAUAAAAGCUCCUGAUAUACCCUCAACUUUUUAUUUUGCUUAUUUUGCUGCUGUUACAUAACUGGGAAACCAUGAGCACCUGGCCAUACAAGGCUGGGGUUUUUUGUUUGCUGUUUCAAGGCCAGAAUAUAUACUCUCAUAUUAACAGUGACUUCAAUCCUAAUUUUCAAUGUUAGAAGUUGGUCAGAAACUGCUUCAUGGAACCAUUUCUUAAUGACCUUGCACCUUGACUUUCUUCCUGCAGCACUAGAAAUGAAUGUACACUGUGUCCUGGACGUGCCGUGAAUUCCCCAGCAGAACCUAAAGCAUCACUUCAUCAAAAUAAAGAGGUGUAAUUCUUCUUAGUCUACUAAAUUAUGCUUAAAAUUUUUCUCCUUUAAGAUUUUCUCCAAGUGCUCCAAUUGUUGCAACAAUUCAUAAUGAAAUGUGACUCCCAGGAAAGAUCAUCAACUGAACUAAUUUUGAUGUUAAAAUAUGACCUGUGCUAACUUGUUAUUCAGUGACUUUGGAAAUGUACCCACCAAUUUCUUGUGUAACCCCUGAAUACCACAUAAGAAAAGGCUAGGAAAAAAAAAUCUCAAGAGAAACAGUACUAGUUGAAAUUUGUAAUUUUGUUAAAAUGUAUUCACCAAGCAAAACCCCAUCUUUUAAAGGUUUCUGUGGGAUAGUUAGACAGCCUUUUAAAGCAUGGGGGCUACCAUGUACAUUUUGUCUAUUUAGUACUAUUUAGUGAACUACUGUUGAUAUACUGUAUAACUAUUAAAUUUGGCUAUGAUACCAAGCUCUAAGGUGUAGGCAAUAGCUCAGUAAGAUCAUAUACACUGAAAUAGCAAUUUUUAUUAUUCUGAAAUACAAUUUCUAUUAUUUCGGCUUUGGAAAUUAGAAUUUUCUUUAUAUGGAUUUAUAUAUUUAUAUAUAUGGAUAUUUUGCUACUGCAGGAAAAGCAUGCACUAAUAACUAUGUAAUACUCUUGGUCAAUAUAUGCCUUAUUUUUCUCCAUAAUUAAUUUCUUCCUUUCUCUUUCCUCUUCUUGUAAGUAGCCCUAUAAUUAUCAUCAUUAACAAUGUUUACUUUUAAUCAGUUGUGGUAUUUUAAUUCUCAGCUCUUACUUCUUUUUCCUAACUAUUCUCAAUAAUUGCAAUGUCCUUGCAAUAUCAGUAUUGUUUGUUUCCAAACUAUUGUUUUGAUUCCAUCUUAUCUGUUCAAAUAAGGAAUACAUGAAUUCCUAGGACUAAUCAUUGUAAUGUUUUAUUAAUGUUAUCUCCAGCUAAUUAUUUUCAUUUCUGUUUUAAUACAGAUCAUUCAUCACUACUUAAACAGCUAACUUAAUUACUUCAGAGACAAAAACAUAAAAAUGCAAUUUAAAGUUUCCUACUUACACAUAACAUAGUUAAAGAUGAAGUGUAACUUAGUGUGUGAGAGAAUCUUUGAGGAAUAAA